This 480-nucleotide ribosomal RNA is filed under the name Triticum aestivum (bread wheat). RNAcentral describes it as "partial small subunit ribosomal RNA". Lineage: Eukaryota; Viridiplantae; Streptophyta; Magnoliopsida; Poales; Poaceae. The record is from RNAcentral.
AUGGUUGCUACUCAAGCUGAGCAAGUACUAAAAGCUCAAAAUGAUUUGCUUGAGGAAUUGAAUAAUAAAAAUGACUUUGCUGUUAGAAUGGCUACUAGAACUGGUAGAAUGACUCAGGAACCUUUGUAUCCUGAAGGCCACCCUAAGAGAAUCGAGCAAGAUUCUCAGAGAAAUAAUUUAGAGGCACCUAGUUCUUCUAAAAAGAAGCAAAAUAAAAACGAUAGGACUUUGCAUGCUUCUAGUGAAUCUAUUGUAGACACACCUGAGAAUCCCAAUGAUAUUUCUAUUUCUGAUGCUGAAAUACAAUCAGGUGAUGAACAUGAACCUAGUGAUAAUGUUAAUGAUAAUGUCCAUGUUGAUGCUCAACCUAGCAGAGACAAUGAUGUAGAGAUUGAACCUGCUGUUGAUCUUGAUGACCCACAAUCAAAGAAUCAACAUUAUGAUAAGAGAGAUUUUGUUGCUAGGAAGCACAGUAAAUAA